This 253-nucleotide ribosomal RNA is filed under the name uncultured bacterium. RNAcentral's name for it is "partial 16S ribosomal RNA". It matches the Rfam family "Bacterial small subunit ribosomal RNA", at positions 524 to 776 of the family's 1533-position model. The record is from RNAcentral.
UACGUAGGGGGCAAGCGUUGUCCGGAAUCAUUGGGCGUAAAGAGCGUGUAGGCGGCCAGAUAAGUCCGCUGUGAAAUCUCGAGGCUCAACUUCGAGCUGUCGGUGGAAACUGUCUGGCUAGAGUCCGGAAGAGGAGAAUGGAAUUCCUGGUGUAGCGGUGAAAUGCGCAGAUAUCAGGAAGAACACCCGUGGCGAAGGCGGAUCUCUGGGCCUUACCUGACGCUCAGGUGCGAAAGCUAGGGGAGCGAACAGG